UCAUGUGAGGGUGUUCUGGCUGAGAUAUCUGUCACCCUAUUGACUGACAGGUUGAUUCUACUGAUCUGGCUGUCUAGGCAGAUGUUCUCUUCCUUCAUCACCUCUGCUUCUGUGCUCCUCCCAAAGCUUUGAGCUAGUUCAAAUAGAACCACCUUCCCUGAAUGGAGGAGGACUGGUCUCGGUCAAGGUUAUGGGAGCAGCUGCGCUCCCCUGCUAGAACCUCCAAAUAAGAUCAUUUUUAUAAGCUGCAUGUUAUGCUAAGCUACAGAUCGACCAAUACUGUUGAAUACUUCAUGAGGUUAGACACUUUUUUC
This 314-nucleotide small nuclear RNA is filed under the name Rattus norvegicus (Norway rat). RNAcentral describes it as "7SK RNA". It matches the Rfam family "7SK RNA". From Rfam's summary of the family: 7SK was discovered as an abundant small nuclear RNA in the mid-70s but a possible function has only recently been suggested. Two independent studies have found that 7SK RNA binds the CDK9/cyclin T complex (known as elongation factor P-TEFb). The record is from Rfam by way of RNAcentral. Lineage: Eukaryota; Metazoa; Chordata; Mammalia; Rodentia; Muridae.